This 507-nucleotide long non-coding RNA is filed under the name Cyanistes caeruleus (blue tit). Its description in RNAcentral is "lncRNA (ENSCCEG00000019035.1)". Lineage: Eukaryota; Metazoa; Chordata; Aves; Passeriformes; Paridae. The record is from RNAcentral.
CUCACCUUUUUUUUCUUCACAAUAUAAUGCAGACUUCAGAACUAGAAACUCACAGAAAAUAUGUGUGGAUGGGGAAGAGAGAUCUGGAUAUCUUCUGCAGCUUUUGGCUGAGUGGUAGAAGUGCCUGUGGUAGAGAAGAAGUGACCUGUUUCAUAAUAAAAGAAACGAGAGGAAAGAGUAGUAUUGAAAUGCAGCGUCUUUGGAAGGAAUGGCAGGAGACCUGGGUCGUAAUUCUAGCACUGGCUGAUGUCAAUAAUCAGAUAUCAUUCCAGUCUGAAGAGAGUGCAUGGAGAUAUGAGGCCUUGAAAACCAUAUUAGUGUGCUCUUCUCUCUCCUCAUAAGCUAUGGCUACAUGUGAGCAACUUUCCAAGGAUAGAUAUUUUUCCCAGGUUAAGUACUCUGUUUGUGAAGCAAGGGCUGUUCUUCACUGUCUCUCGGCUUUUCUUGAGUACCAGAAUGAAUUGGCCAGCCAAUAAAAUUUAUCUAUUGAUAAUCUAUGAUAUCUAU